AUGGCACCGUAUAUUGCUCGUGUAUAUAAACAAGACGUGAACGAGUCAAUUCUCGCGCGCGUCAGUUCAGUUUUGCUAUCGCGCAUGCGCGUCACGCAAGCGGCCGCGUUUGUCCAAGGCUGUCGUUUACAGGAGCCGCGGGUGAUGCCUGUUACUCAAACUGACAGCUUCUGUCGACUCCAGGAAUCAACAAGGCCACGAGUUCAGCUCAUGUUAGGCCUCAAGAGACAAGUCUUGUUAGAAGCCUAACAGGUAUUCUGGUGCUGUGUUUGUUUUGGCUGCUGAAGUAGACCGGCAGACUUUAUCCUUGGCCAGAAUGAUUGAUUGGACCUUUUGUUUCCAUUUACCCUUGAGGGCAGAGAGUCGGUAUAUCCAUUAUUUAUGUCCGCCUCGGUGUGGAGUCGUCCGCUUGGCCCCGUGUUCCUCCGGCCUUUAUGACAUAAACCUCCACUGAGAGAAUGUUUCAACAGAGAGAAAAUAUAGCAGCGAAAUCCAUCAAACAUAACCCGGUCACAGGUCCGCUCCACACAUCACCUUUACAGCGGAGCGGGAAUCGCUCUUUCUGGGAUAUCAGCGCUCAAAAGAGACUGUAAUUAUUGAAAUUAAUGAUGGUAAACGACUGUGGCUGAACACAUUUCUCUCCGGGUGGGUGUGUGAGGUUUACUUUUUAAAGCAUGUCCUGUGGAGAAAUACCCUGUAAUUACACAUCGAUAUACAGUAACCAAUGCAAUCUCAAGACAAUUCGUAGAUUUUUGAUUUACUGGGUAUUUCGUGUGAGUUUGUACGAUCUUGUUUUUAUAUUUUAGUAUGAUUUGCUUAUUCCCCCAAUGACAGGUGGGGUUUGGCGUCACGCCUCCUUUUCAUGAGUGAAACUGUAUGAAUUUUAU
This 887-nucleotide long non-coding RNA is filed under the name Danio rerio (zebrafish). Its description in RNAcentral is "lncRNA (ENSDARG00000117516.1)". Lineage: Eukaryota; Metazoa; Chordata; Actinopteri; Cypriniformes; Danionidae. The record is from RNAcentral.